RNAcentral lists this ribosomal RNA (271 nucleotides) under uncultured prokaryote. RNAcentral describes it as "partial 16S ribosomal RNA". It matches the Rfam family "Bacterial small subunit ribosomal RNA", at positions 524 to 796 of the family's 1533-position model. The record is from RNAcentral.
UACGUAGGGUGCGAGCGUUAUCCGGAAUUACUGGGCGUAAAGGGUGCGUAGGCGGUCUUUCAAGCCAGAAGUGAAAGGCUACGGCUCAACCGUAGUAAGCUUUUGGAACUGUAAGACUUGAGUGCAGGAGAGGAGAGUGGAAUUCCUAGUGUAGCGGUGAAAUGCGUAGAUAUUAGGAGGAACACCAGUAGCGAAGGCGGCUCUCUGGACUGUAACUGACGCUGAGGCACGAAAGCGUGGGGAGCAAACAGGAUUAGAUACCCUGGUCCCU